RNAcentral lists this long non-coding RNA (831 nucleotides) under Marmota monax (woodchuck). Lineage: Eukaryota; Metazoa; Chordata; Mammalia; Rodentia; Sciuridae. The record is from RNAcentral.
CCGUUUGGGACGAGCGGGACGUCUCGGGUUGUGAAGGGUCCAGCGGAGACAUGUGUGUGGCCGCUGCAGACGCCGAGGGGCUUGGCCGCGGGUCGGGUGGAUCUGUGCACUCCUGGGACCGACCCCUCGGCUAUGCUCCGAUUGCCCCCCCCGCCCGCGAACAGCCCCUGGGUCAGGACGGCCUCCUGAACCUUCCUGGGUUUAGAAAAGACGCAAAUGACAACCUUCGCCCGGUGCCCGUGGGUGCCCGUGCUGCCAACCCCACUCUUCUCGGGCCACAGUUCCCCCCUCGGUAGUGAGAAGAGGGCGAACUUAGUAGCUCCUGCCCAGGGAGCGCUGCACGCCAGCCCCGACUGCCUUGAACAUAUUUCCUCUGCUCAGAGGAUCUCCCUGGCACCUCAUUCUAUGCUAGCAUGCAGUAGGUGCUUAAUAAAUACCGGUUCAAUGAAUUUACUGCCCCCUGAGCCUUUUGAGGGAGGGGAAUGCAGUAGGUCGAGGUCCUGGCUCAGAUGGGGGCCACUCCAACCUGGGUGGCUGGCCCAAUUGUCUGGGACAUGCACCCGGGAUCCAGUGGGUCUCAAUUUUGGGAAUGCCAUGGCCUGUUAGAAGCACAGCUCGCUUGACAUUUUGAGUUCCCAGGAGGCCUGUGCACCAGAUUCCAGCGGGAAAUGGCAUCUUGGGUGUUGAAGGUGUUCAGGUUCCAGGAGCUACAGGGCUUCCUUCAGUGUUCUAGGCGUGGGCCCAGCCGAGAUUGCAUGUUGUUUAUGCGGCUCUUGUUCUAACCCAGUGCCCUCCGUUUUCUUCCCUGUUGCCUUCCCCGCCUCAUGUGGC